CCUACGGGAGGCAGCAGUGGGGAAUAUUGCACAAUGGGGGAAACCCUGAUGCAGCGACGCCGCGUGAGUGAAGAAGUAAUUCGUUAUGUAAAGCUCUAUCAGCAGGGAAGAAAAUGACGGUACCUGAGUAAGAAGCCCCGACUAACUACGUGCCAGCAGCCGCGGUCAUACGUAGGGGGCAAGCGUUAUCCGGAUUUACUGGGUGUAAAGGGAGCGUAGACGGCAGUGCAAGUCUGGAGUGAAAGGCGGGGGCUCAACCCCCGGACUGCUCUGGAAACUGUACGGCUGGAGUGCAGGAGAGGUAAGUGGAAUUCCUAGUGUAGCGGUGAAAUGCGUAGAUAUUAGGAGGAACACCAGUGGCGAAGGCGGCUUACUGGACUGUAACUGACGUUGAGGCUCGAAAGCGUGGGGAGCAAACAGGAUUAGAUACCCCAGUAGUC
Molecule: ribosomal RNA, 440 nt
Filed under: uncultured bacterium
Lineage: Bacteria
Description: partial 16S ribosomal RNA
Rfam family: Bacterial small subunit ribosomal RNA
Source: RNAcentral